RNAcentral lists this ribosomal RNA (390 nucleotides) under uncultured Brevibacterium sp. RNAcentral describes it as "bacterial SSU rRNA". It matches the Rfam family "Bacterial small subunit ribosomal RNA", at positions 655 to 1042 of the family's 1533-position model. Lineage: Bacteria; Bacillati; Actinomycetota; Actinomycetes; Micrococcales; Brevibacteriaceae. The record is from RNAcentral.
GAGAGUCUGGGAUUCCUGGUGUAGUGGUGAGAUGCGCAGAUAUCAGGAGGAACACCGGUGGCGAAGGCAGGACUCUGGGCUGUAACUGACACUGAGGAGCGAAAGCAUGGAGAGCGAACAGGAUUAGAUACUCUGGUAGUCCAUGCCGUAAACGUUGGGCACUAGGUGUGGAGGGCAUUCCACGUUCUCUGCGCUGUAGCUAACGCAUUAAGUGCCUCGCCUGGGGAGUACGGUCGCAAGGCUAGAACUCAAAGGAAUUGACGGAGGCCCGCACAAGCAGCGGAGCAUGCGGAUUAACUCGAUGCUACGCGAAGAACCUUACCAAGGCUUGACAUACACUGGACCGGUCUGGAGACAGUCCUUCGGCUUUGGGGCUGGUGUACAGGUAGU